RNAcentral lists this ribosomal RNA (467 nucleotides) under uncultured bacterium. RNAcentral's name for it is "partial 16S ribosomal RNA". It matches the Rfam family "Bacterial small subunit ribosomal RNA", at positions 28 to 507 of the family's 1533-position model. The record is from RNAcentral.
GACGAACGCUGGCGGCGUGCUUAACACAUGCAAGUCGAACGGAAAGGCCUCUUUCGUGGGGUACUCGAGUGGCGAACGGGUGAGUAACACGUGAGUAACCUGCCCUUGACUUUGGGAUAACUUCAGGAAACUGGGGCUAAUACCGGAUAGGAGCUCCUGCUGCAUGGUGGGGGUUGGAAAGGUUCGGCGGUUGGGGAUGGACUCGCGGCGUAUCAGCUUGUUGGUGGGGUAGUGGCUUACCAAGGCUUUGACGGGUAGCCGGCCUGAGAGGGUGACCGGCCACAGUGGGACUGAGAUACGGCCCAGACUCCUACGGGAGGCAGCAGUGGGGAAUAUUGCAAAAUGGGUGGAAGCCUGAUGCAGCAACGCCGUGUGCGGGAUGACGGCCUUCGGGUUGUAAACCGCUUUCGCUCAUGACGAAGCUUUGUGUGACGGUAGUGGGUAAAGAAGCACCGGCUAACUACGUG